AUUUAUGUAGCAGCCCAAAUUUGGUAGCUUAAUGUUACUUGUAAAUAUAAUUGUUAGAAUUUAAUCAAAUCUUUAAAAUUUUUCUUUUAAAAAACACUAAUUUGGUUUAUUUAUAGCAAGUAGUCAAAUUCAGCCAUAUUUUCCAGCUAGCAUAUUUUUUUGUCAGCAGGCUAACACUGGCUAUCAAGCCAAACUUCAGGUUAAAAAGUUAUUGCCUAUAUAAUGUUUAGGUAAUACAGAAAUAUAAUUCCGAAUUGUUCAGCUUUUAUUCAACAUAAAUUCUAAAAUUAAUUUAAUGUGAACAAAACUCUUUUCUUCCAGUAACAGCUGAAUUCUUUUACUUCACACGCGGUUGCUGCUCAACAGUCACAGUGGAAAAUUCCAGAAAAUGAAUCUUGCCUGUUCCAUUUCAGGUCAGCAUCCCCAAUAAAUUAUGAUGAACUGACUAUUAUCAACCCAAUUUGGGCCAAGUCGACAAACUACCUGACCCAACAAGCUAAUCCCAGGCCCUGAGAUGCAAAAUUAACCCAACAUUGUGGGCUUUACCAGUAUGAGGUUUCAAAAGGCAGGUGGCACCCUUUAUACAAGGUCUCGGACAUCCUUUAUGUCCUGAUCCAGAACCUCAGGAGGAGUCUUGCAAGAAAACCUGCAGAGACACAGCAGAUCAGAAUCAGGUGAAAGAUGCCAACUACAGGUACAAAAGAUGUACCCUUAAUUGUACCCCAGAGAAAAGGAAAAGUACAGAUUGGUACCUUUAUUUUGUAAGUACCAAUGAACAGAAGCCAGUGGUGUUCAAACCUAGUGCUAAGGAUGCUAUGCUGUUCACAUUUUUGCCUCAUCUACCACAGCUGAUUCAUGGAUUAAUUGACCAACUCGUGGUCUAAUUAGUUAGCACUUAAUGUGCUGGGUUACAGCAGGAAACUUUCACCAUGUAAAGAACAGAAAAACUUGCAUAACCUGUGCUUAAAAUAUCUUAAAUCUUUGGACAAGCUAUUAGUGAUGUAUUAAA
Pangasianodon hypophthalmus (striped catfish) is the source of this 1009-nucleotide long non-coding RNA. RefSeq lists it as uncharacterized. The record is from RefSeq and is a predicted model, not a curated record. The transcript has 3 exons. NCBI's taxonomy places the organism in Eukaryota, Metazoa, Chordata, Actinopteri, Siluriformes, Pangasiidae.